Molecule: ribosomal RNA, 349 nt
Filed under: uncultured bacterium
Lineage: Bacteria
Description: bacterial SSU rRNA
Rfam family: Bacterial small subunit ribosomal RNA
Source: RNAcentral
AGAGUUUGAUCAUGGCUCAGAUUGAACGCUGGCGGCAUGCUUUACACGUGCAAGUCGGACGGCAGCACAGAGAAGCUUGCUUCUUGGGUGGCGAGUGGCGAACGGGUGAGUAACAUAUCGGAACGUACCGAGCAGUGGGGGAUAACUAAUCGAAAGAUUAGCUAAUACCGCAUAUAUUCUGAGGAAGAAAGCAGGGGACCAUUUGGCCUUGCGCUGUUUGAGCGGCCGAUAUCUGAUUAGCUAGUUGGUGGGGUAAAGGCCUACCAAGGCGACGAUCAGUAGCGGGUCUGAGAGGAUGAUCCGCCACACUGGGACUGAGACACGGCCCAGACUCCUACGGGAGGCAGCA